AAAAUGGGAAAAAAGAAAAACAAAACCAAAAACAAAACCCAAGCCAAAAAAAAACCAACAAAAGGAGCAGGGUAGGAUUUAUAUUUGGAUUUACGUUGGCGUACGUAUAUACUACGCUAAUCUGAUUACCCAUCGGGAAUCCUCCUUGACGACAGCUUUUUUCUUUAUUACUCUCACCACCACGUUAACACACACCGCCUCAGGAGGAAAGAGCAAACCGAACGCACCAGCACCACGUCCCUCUGUUUCUGCCUUCCUCAUUUUCCGGAGAGGAACCCCACAGCAGCUCGGCCCUACCGGAGAACCUCAACCCAACCUCCCGCCACCAACUUGGCCGUUCCAAAUGUAAAUCAAUGCAGCAGCCGCCACCGCCGCCGCAAACCCGAGCUCUCUUCUUGCGGGGGAGAGAUGCGAGCAGCGUUGCGAGACGGCGAGAGAGCGGGAACGGCCGCUCGGACGUCGCUGCAUUCCGUCAACGAAGAUUUCCCCCCGUGGCGGUCGGUGCCUUUCGAGACGCCCCGCCACGGCGGCGAUGCGCCACCGACCACCGCCGCGCUGCACCACCCGCCGUGUGAGGCCACACACGCGUGUGCGUGGGCCCGCGUCCCCCACGCUGUCCUCUCCCCGCACAGGUGCGAAGGCGACGCCAAGACAACGAUGCAGAACACGGCCCCGUUUUCUCAGAACCACAAAUAAAUAAAGCUCAUAGGCUGUGACUCUGUGCCGUGACCUUCGCUUGAGCGUUACCUAGCACCUAACAAGGGCUGAAAGAGCCUUGGUUUCAGAGCAGACUGGAAACCCUUCAGGCAGAUUUGAAAGGAGGGCCGCAGGCUUUUUGUAACACGUGGCGUGUCUUUUACCGUACAAGAGACACCAGCUGUUUGGAGGGGGAAAGCUGUAAUUUCUCAUUUGCCAAACGUUGCAGGUGCAUAUGGCAUUUUUACAAACCCCUACAAAAGGAAGUUCAAGGCUUCGAGGAGCGUAAAACUCAAGCCAAACACAACUGCAAGAUAAACCUUUCGGUUGGCUACGAGAGCCGUCAUCCUGCUCACCUGUAUUUCUUGCGUUACCGCUCUCCGUCUCCGAGGAUUUCCAGAAGAAAUGCCUGCUCAUGUCACCUCUGUCACGCAAGGACACAUCUCCUCCUUGGAUCCCGCCGGGGUGCCCGGCGCCACGAUGCCUCGCACGCGUCAAACAGGGAUCUACACGUCAUUCCUGGGAUCUACCAGCACGUUUCCAGCCUGCUGAAGAGGAGCUCCAGGGCCGUGGAUAGACUGGGUGGAUCUGGAGGAUAAGGAAGGUUGAAAGGCAAUAAUCACUGGUGGUAGGUGGUGGGAAUUGGGAUGAGAAGGGUGGAGUAGAAGGAAUUAGUGGAAAAUCAAGAGGGCAGUGGUGCUCUGGCCACGACUAAGUUUCAGCGUGAAGUCUGCGGUAUUUAAAGGUGCUGUUGGAGGCUGGCUCCAAGGGGAGCUUGUGACGCUCUUCCCAUUUUAGAUGACACCAGUCACAUCCAGGGCUGGUUUUCCCUCCCGCUCUCUUGCAAGUCUAUGUUACUGCUUACCCCCAAAAUAAUGAGGCUUUUCUUUCUCCUUUCCUUCCUCCCAAACCUUUGCCAGGUAGGAGACUUCCCUCACCUCUGCGCUCAGGUACAGCCCCUUCCCCGUGUGGAUCUGCUGGGGGUGGGUGGGGACAAUCAAGGACAUAGUAAAGUUCCCAGUGGGUCCUAGGAAGUGAAUCGAGCACAGAGAAGCUCCCUACGGUCUUUUACCGAUGCGGCCCGCAGCAUUGGACGGUUGUGGAAAAACGACCCCGAAUAAUUCAGCGAGGUUCACUCUCAGGCACGGGGACAGCCCAGGAAAGCCCCAAGGCAGCCUGUCCUGAUCUUGUUCCCAUGGUUGCAACUACCUUCUCGGUCAGAGGCAAAAAAGAACAAGCGCUGGU
Chroicocephalus ridibundus (black-headed gull) is the source of this 1941-nucleotide long non-coding RNA. RefSeq lists it as uncharacterized. The record is from RefSeq and is a predicted model, not a curated record. The transcript is spliced from 3 exons. NCBI's taxonomy places the organism in Eukaryota, Metazoa, Chordata, Aves, Charadriiformes, Laridae.